CCUUACCCGCUGAACUUAAGCAUAUCACUAAGCGGAGGAAAAGAAACUAACUAGGAUGGCCUUAGUAAGGGCGACUGAAGAGGCCAGAGCCCAAGAUGGAAAUCACCGUGCAGCGUGCGGCGAAUUGUAAUCUUGAGACGGACAGCUCAAAGGAUAGCGGCGCAGAACAGUCUGGAAAUGCUGGCCAUAGAGGGUGAUAGCCCCGUACGUGGCGCCGGUAUCUAACGAGCGUUUGUUCAAAGAGUCGGGUUGUUUGAUAUUGCAGCCCUAAGCGGGAGAUAAACUUCUUCUAAGGCUAAAUAUAUGUGGGAAACCGAUAGCGAACAAGUACUGUGAAGGAAAGAUGAAAAGCACUUUGGAAAGAUUGUUAAAAGACCUGAAACCGUUGAGGAGGAAGCGGUAGAGGAGUAUAAUACUUUGAGGCGCUGAUCCGGAGAUUAGUCGAAGGGGUGUGCUGAGAAGUGAGGCCGGAUGGAGCGGAGCCUCCGUAAAGGUGCGUAGGUCAGUUGCUUCGGCGUAAGCCUGCGUAACCAGCGGAGACUCGGCUUGAGGGGCUAUGUGCGAUCCGGUCAAAAUGGCCUUUACCGGCUCGUCUUGAAACACGAACCAAGGAGUCUAACGUACACGCGAGUGUGAGGGCGGAAAAACCUUCACGCGCAAUGAAAGUGAGAGAUGCCAAAUUUGCAGCAUCAACCGACCAAGUUUUCGGAUGAGGUUUGAGUAAGAGCGUGUCCGCUAGGACCCGAAAGAUGGUGAACUAUGCCUGCGUAGGGUGAAGUCAGGGGAAACUCUGAUGGAAGCUCGUAGCGAUACUGACGUGCAAAUCGUUCGUCUAACGUGGGUAUAGGGGCGAAAGACUAAUCGAACCAUCUAGUAGCUGGUUCCCUCCGAAGUUUCCCUCAGGA
RNAcentral lists this ribosomal RNA (905 nucleotides) under uncultured eukaryote. Its description in RNAcentral is "eukaryotic LSU rRNA". It matches the Rfam family "Eukaryotic large subunit ribosomal RNA", at positions 21 to 978 of the family's 3401-position model. The record is from RNAcentral.